UAGCUGGAGAGAAAGCCAAACAGGUCCAAUGGACAAACGUCUAUCUGGAUGCUCUGGAGCUGGGCCUUGUGAUUACAGGAACUCUACCCGUCUUCAAUCUAACAAAGGAACAAAAUGGAAAAAUAAAUCAGCUGAUUCUUGGAGUAAUGGGGGUUGAUGUCUCUUUGGAGGACAUAAAAAAACUGACACCCCGAUUUACGCUUUGUCCAAAUGGAUACUAUUUUGCAAUUGAUCCUAAUGGGUAUGUGCUACUUCAUCCAAAUCUUCAGCCAAAGAAUCCUAAAUCCCAGGAGCCUGUUACGCUGGAUUUUCUAGAUGCUGAAUUGGAAAAUGAUAUUAAAGUUGAG
Molecule: non-coding RNA, 347 nt
Organism: Balearica regulorum gibbericeps (East African grey crowned-crane)
Lineage: Eukaryota; Metazoa; Chordata; Aves; Gruiformes; Gruidae
Source: RefSeq, a predicted model, not a curated record